RNAcentral lists this ribosomal RNA (594 nucleotides) under Rutilus rutilus (roach minnow). Its description in RNAcentral is "partial 16S ribosomal RNA". It matches the Rfam family "Bacterial large subunit ribosomal RNA", at positions 1814 to 2611 of the family's 2925-position model. Lineage: Eukaryota; Metazoa; Chordata; Actinopteri; Cypriniformes; Leuciscidae. The record is from RNAcentral.
CAUCGCCUCCUGCAACUAUAUUGAGUAUAGGAGGUCCAGCCUGCCCAGUGACUACGGGUUCAACGGCCGCGGUAUUUUGACCGUGCAAAGGUAGCGCAAUCACUUGUCUCUUAAAUAGAGACCUGUAUGAAUGGCUAGACGAGGGCUUAACUGUCUCCCCCUUCCAGUCAGUGAAAUUGAUCUAUCCGUGCAGAAGCGGGUAUAAUUAUACAAGACGAGAAGACCCUUUGGAGCUUAAGGUACAAAAUUCAACCACGUUAAACGACUCUACAUGAAGCAAGAACUUAGUGGCGAAUGAAAUUUUACCUUCGGUUGGGGCGACCACGGAGGAGAAAGAAGCCUCCGAGUGGACUGGGCUAAUCCCCAAAGCCAAGAGAUACAUCUAUAAGCCGCAGAACAUCUGACCAAGAAUGAUCCGACUGAUAAAGCCGAUCAACGAACCAAGUUACCCUAGGGAUAACAGCGCAAUCCUCUCCCAGAGUCCAUAUCGACGAGGGGGUUUACGACCUCGAUGUUGGAUCAGGACAUCCUAAUGGUGCAGCCGCUAUUAAGGGUUCGUUUGUUCANCGAUUAAAGUCCUACGUGAUCUGAGUC